Molecule: ribosomal RNA, 269 nt
Filed under: uncultured Planctomycetales bacterium
Lineage: Bacteria; Pseudomonadati; Planctomycetota; Planctomycetia; Planctomycetales
Description: partial 16S ribosomal RNA
Rfam family: Bacterial small subunit ribosomal RNA
Source: RNAcentral
GAGCACGUAGGUGGGUUUGUAAGUCAGAUGUGAAAGCCUUCUGUUCAACGGAAGAAUUGCAUCUGAAACUGCGAGUCUUGAGUGUAGGAGGGGAGAAUGGGACUUCUGGUGGAGCGGUGAAAUGCGUAGAUAUCAGAAGGAACGCCGGCGGCGAGAGCGAUUCUCUGGCCUAUUACUGACACUCAGUGUGCGAAAGCUAGGGGAGCAAACGGGAUUAGAUACCCCGGUAGUCCUAGCCGUAGACGAUGGGCACUAAGUAGAGGGGUUUU